GCGGCAGUGGUCCAGGGGUUAUGACUUGGGCUUCCCAAGCCCAAGACCCGGGUUCGAUUCCCGGCUGCCGCA
RNAcentral lists this transfer RNA (72 nucleotides) under Candidatus Methanolliviera hydrocarbonicum. RNAcentral describes it as "tRNA-Gly". It matches the Rfam family "tRNA". Rfam says of the family: Transfer RNA (tRNA) molecules are approximately 80 nucleotides in length. Their secondary structure includes four short double-helical elements and three loops (D, anti-codon, and T loops). The record is from RNAcentral. Lineage: Archaea; Methanobacteriati; Methanobacteriota; Candidatus Methanoliparia; Candidatus Methanoliparales; Candidatus Methanollivieraceae. RNAcentral also lists the same sequence under 2 other names.